Molecule: ribosomal RNA, 119 nt
Filed under: Helianthus annuus (common sunflower)
Lineage: Eukaryota; Viridiplantae; Streptophyta; Magnoliopsida; Asterales; Asteraceae
Source: RNAcentral
GGUUGCGAUCAUACCAUCACUAAUGCACCGGAUCCCAUCAGAAUUCCGCAGUUAAGCGUGCUUGGGCGAGAGUAGUACUAGGAUGGGUGACCCCCUGGGAAGUCCUCGUGUUGCAACCC